GGGGCUGCACUGGUUUCGACGUGGGUUCGGGAUCGUUGUGGUGCAUGUCGAGUCGAAUUACCUCGUAAAACGGAUUCAAAAAACCAACUGCAAACGACGAACGUUUCGCACUCGCUGCUUAAUCGCUAGCGAGCCCUGCAACAGCUCGCCAAUGGGCUGGGCAAGGGGCCACUGACCAACCGGUUCGUGGCUCCCGGCUGCGGGGGCAUUCACAUUGGCUGGCACUGCACCGGGCACCUUGGUGUGGCGCAAGAAAACAGGGUGCUGGCAAUGGGGAAAGCGUGUGGCUGCGCGUUCCCUGGCGCAAGAUCCAAAUCAGACCACUACACAUGUAGACCUGCUCGGCAAAGGCUCGCGGACGCGGGUUCGAUUCCCGCCAGCUCCACCA
This 388-nucleotide transfer-messenger RNA is filed under the name Candidatus Symbiobacter mobilis CR. It matches the Rfam family "transfer-messenger RNA". From Rfam's summary of the family: Bacterial tmRNA, also known as 10Sa RNA or SsrA, is named for its dual tRNA and mRNA-like properties. Its role is to liberate the mRNA from a stalled ribosome. To accomplish this part of the tmRNA is used as a reading frame that ends in a translation stop signal. Lineage: Bacteria; Pseudomonadati; Pseudomonadota; Betaproteobacteria; Burkholderiales; Comamonadaceae. The record is from Rfam by way of RNAcentral.